AGCUCCAAUAGCGUAUAUUAAAGUUGCUGCAGUUAAAAAGCUCGUAGUUGCAUUUCCGAGGCAAGGGAUUAGUCCGACCUUUGGUGGGUAUUUAAUCCUCUUGCCUCGUCCUUGAGUGGUGCUUCUUGGUAUUAAGUUAUCGAGGAGAUAGCCGCUCAUCGUUUACUGUGAGAAAAUUAGAGUGUUCAAAGCAGGCUUAUGCCGUUGAAUAUAUUAGCAUGGAAUAAUAAGAUAGGACCUCGGUGCUAUUUUGUUGGUUUGAGAACCAAGGUAAUGAUUAAUAGGGACAGUUGGGGGUAUUCGUAUUCAGUUGUCAGAGGUGAAAUUCUUAGAUUUACGGAAGACGAACUACUGCGAAAGCAUUUACCAAGGAUGUUUUCA
This 381-nucleotide ribosomal RNA is filed under the name uncultured marine Chaetocerotaceae. Its description in RNAcentral is "SSU rRNA". It matches the Rfam family "Eukaryotic small subunit ribosomal RNA", at positions 587 to 972 of the family's 1831-position model. Lineage: Eukaryota; Bacillariophyta; Thalassiosirophyceae; Chaetocerotales; Chaetocerotaceae. The record is from RNAcentral.